Pelobates cultripes (western spadefoot toad) is the source of this 367-nucleotide non-coding RNA. The record is from the annotation of a GenBank genome assembly. Lineage: Eukaryota; Metazoa; Chordata; Amphibia; Anura; Pelobatidae.
AUUUAUGUAGGUUGCUUUAUUUCUCUUAUGUUUUAGUCACCCUGUACCCAUUAUAGGUGCAGGGUGUGUGUAAUGUAAUUGUUUAUAGUGUGUGUGUGCGUGUGUGUGUGUGUACUGUGUAAUGUAUUGCCUGCUCUCCUGUACUGCUGAGGUUUGCUACCAACUAGGUGGAUUUGGCUAUGGAGCUUGUAUAGUGCCCUCUGUUGGUAGCAACAGCAAUAUGCACUACCUGAAUAACAAGACUGGUUCAUUUGCAUAUUCGGGUAGAUUUGCAUAUUGCUAAUUCUGCAGACAUGUGAGAUAUUUUCUGUUGGUUAUUGUCUCCCCCACCUAUUUGGAAAUGUGCCAUUGUGUUGUGAUAAGUCAC